This 82-nucleotide transfer RNA is filed under the name Ixodes scapularis (black-legged tick). RNAcentral's name for it is "tRNA-Phe". It matches the Rfam family "tRNA". From Rfam's summary of the family: Transfer RNA (tRNA) molecules are approximately 80 nucleotides in length. Their secondary structure includes four short double-helical elements and three loops (D, anti-codon, and T loops). Lineage: Eukaryota; Metazoa; Arthropoda; Arachnida; Ixodida; Ixodidae. The record is from RNAcentral.
GCAGCCGUGGCCGAGUGGUUAAGGCGAUGGGCUAAAAAUCCAUUCGGGUCUCCCCGCACAGGUUCGAAUCCUGCCGACUGCG